UAUCUAAUAUUAUUAUUUUUUGUAUUAAUAACAACAACUUCAAAUUGUACAGUGCUUUGUAAACAGUUUUGUUUUUCCCCCUUUACAGGCCACAUAGAUGCCAACAAUACUAUCGUGACUGUGUGUGUUGUGGUUGCCAUCAUCAUAAUCCUCGUUGUAGGUUAUAUUCAUCAUCGAACGAAACAAAAAAAUACCAGAGAAACCAUUGAAAACACAGUGUAUGCAGUUCCUGAGGAGGAAUAUUUAGUUGGCAGAAGGAAGCCUAGGGUGCUGGCAGGCGGGCAGGGAGACUGUGGAGAGGAGAGACAGAGAAACUAUUAAGAGCACUGAAACAAACAGGUGCUGGAUGGCUCAAAUAGGAAAACUGCACCCAUGGGUGGAUCACCAGCACAAAGCCAAACUAACAAUUCCACUUGAAACUUAAAAGUUAAACAGAGAGGAAAGAAAAAGAAAACAGGCCUCAAAUCCAACCCAGCUCUACUAUAACAGCAUUUCACCUUUAAGGCAGCUGUAGACAGUUUUCCAUAAAAGAACAGGCAAUGCAGUAUGGGAGCAUGGACUUUGGCAGCAGGUAGUUUUAAAAGAACAGCAGUUGCAUUGGAGUAUUAUUUGCUGGGGUCCUCUGGUUGGCAGUCUUUGAUAGGGCCAACUUGAUCUGUCUCCAGACCAGCAGCAGCAGAGGUGGACAGAGACAACUGUUACUUCAACAGAAGGUUGACAUCGAAGUAAAAAAUGAAAGGAAGAGAGACCAGCUGCACCAGAAGUUAGAGCAUUGUGUGCAUAUUCUAUCCAUGUGUAAGUGGUACACCAAAAUUAAAGUUUAUGUAAUAAAUUGAUGUGACUUUCCCCACGUAGCAAGUCAACUUGGCAGUGUGGGCCCAAUGGAUAACCCAUAAGUGCUAUCUUCCCAGCUGCAUGGUUUCUGAUGUAGUAAUUCCUUUCUGUGAAAGACAGACAAUGGGAGAAAAAGGCACAAUGAUGGAGUUUAGUUUCAGAGCCAAAUUUCCUCAACCACAAAUUGCUUGUGUAGGUCUGGU
Long non-coding RNA from Oreochromis aureus, 1037 nucleotides. The record is from Ensembl. Lineage: Eukaryota; Metazoa; Chordata; Actinopteri; Cichliformes; Cichlidae.